This is a small nuclear RNA of Otolemur garnettii (small-eared galago), 103 nucleotides long. NCBI's taxonomy places the organism in Eukaryota, Metazoa, Chordata, Mammalia, Primates, Galagidae. The record is from Ensembl.
GUGUUACAGCAGCACAGAUACUAAAAUUGGAAUGAUAAAGGGACGAUUAGCACUUCCCCUGCUCAAGGAUGACAUGCAAAUUUGUGAAGCAUUUCAUAUUUAA